Molecule: ribosomal RNA, 430 nt
Filed under: Acidobacteriota bacterium
Lineage: Bacteria; Pseudomonadati; Acidobacteriota
Description: Acidobacteria bacterium partial 16S ribosomal RNA
Rfam family: Bacterial small subunit ribosomal RNA
Source: RNAcentral
UGGGGAAUAUUGGACAAUGGGCGAAAGCCUGAUCCAGCCAUGCCGCGUGUGUGAAGAAGGCCUUUUGGUUGCAAAGCACUUUAAGCGAGGAGGAGGCUACUUGGAUUAAUACUCUAGGAUAGUGGACGUUACUCGCAGAAUAAGCACCGGCUAACUCUGUGCCAGCAGCCGCGGUAAUACAGAGGGUGCGAGCGUUAAUCGGAUUUACUGGGCGUAAAGCGUGCGUAGGCGGCUUCUUAAGUCGGAUGUGAAAUCCCUGAGCUUAACUUAGGAAUUGCAUUCGAUACUGGGAAGCUAGAGUAUGGGAGAGGAUGGUAGAAUUCCAGGUGUAGCGGUGAAAUGCGUAGAGAUCUGGAGGAAUACCGAUGGCGAAGGCAGCCAUCUGGCCUAAUACUGACGCUGAGGUACGAAAGCAUGGGGAGCAAACAGG